Molecule: ribosomal RNA, 429 nt
Filed under: Gemmatimonadota bacterium
Lineage: Bacteria; Pseudomonadati; Gemmatimonadota
Description: Gemmatimonadetes bacterium partial 16S ribosomal RNA
Rfam family: Bacterial small subunit ribosomal RNA
Source: RNAcentral
UAGGGAAUCUUCGGCAAAGGACGAAAGUCUGACCGAGCAACGCCGCGUGAGUGAAGAAGGUUUUCGGAUCGUAAAACUCUGUUGUUAGAGAAGAACAAGGACGUUAGUAACUGAACGUCCCCUGACGGUAUCUAACCAGAAAGCCACGGCUAACUACGUGCCAGCAGCCGCGGUAAUACGUAGGUGGCAAGCGUUGUCCGGAUUUAUUGGGCGUAAAGCGAGCGCAGGCGGUUUCUUAAGUCUGAUGUGAAAGCCCCCGGCUCAACCGGGGAGGGUCAUUGGAAACUGGGAGACUUGAGUGCAGAAGAGGAGAGUGGAAUUCCAUGUGUAGCGGUGAAAUGCGUAGAUAUAUGGAGGAACACCAGUGGCGAAGGCGGCUCUCUGGUCUGUAACUGACGCUGAGGCUCGAAAGCGUGGGGAGCAAACAGG